GAUGAAGAACGUAGCGAAAUGCGAUAAGUAAUGUGAAUUGUAGAAUUCAGUGAAUCAUCGAAUCUUUGAACGCACAUUGCGCCCGCCAGCAUUCUGGCGGGCAUGCCUGUUCGAGCGUCAUUUCAACCCUCAAGCUCUGCUUGGUGUUGGGGCCCUACGGUUGACGUAGGCCCUUAAAGGUAGUGGCGGACCCUCUCGGAGCCUCCUUUGCGUAGUAACUAACGUCUCGCAUUGGGAUUCGGAGGGACUCUUGCCGUAAAACCCCCAAAUUUUCUAAUGGUUGACCUCGGAUCAGGUAGGAAUACCCGCUGAACUUAAGCAUAUCAAUAAGCGGAGGA
Molecule: unclassified non-coding RNA, 338 nt
Filed under: soil metagenome
Description: partial contains 5.8S ribosomal RNA, internal transcribed spacer 2, and large subunit ribosomal RNA
Rfam family: 5.8S ribosomal RNA (bases 1-120)
Source: RNAcentral